This 548-nucleotide ribosomal RNA is filed under the name uncultured bacterium. RNAcentral's name for it is "bacterial SSU rRNA". It matches the Rfam family "Bacterial small subunit ribosomal RNA", at positions 777 to 1329 of the family's 1533-position model. The record is from RNAcentral.
AAUAGAUACCCCGGUAGUCCACGCCCUAAACGAUGUCAACUGGUUGUUGGGGAUUUACUUCCUCAGUAACGAAGCUAACGCGUGAAGUUGACCGCCUGGGGAGUACGGCCGCAAGGUUAAAACUCAAAGGAAUUGACGGGGACCCGCACAAGCGGUGGAUGAUGUGGUUUAAUUCGAUGCAACGCGAAAAACCUUACCACCUUUGACAUGUACGGAAGAUCGCAGAGACGCGAUUGUGCUCGAAAGAGAGCCGUAACACAGGUGCUGCAUGGCUGUCGUCAGCUCGUGUCGUGAGAUGUUGGGUUAAGUCCCGCAACGAGCGCAACCCUUGCCAUUAGUUGCUACGAAAAGGCACUCUAAUGGGACUGCCGGUGACAAACCGGAGGAAGGUGGGGAUGACGUCAAGUCCUCAUGGCCCUUAUAGGUGGGGCUACACACGUCAUACAAUGGCUGGUACAAAGGGUAGCCAACCCGGCGAGGGGGGAGCCAAUCCCAUAAAGCCAGUCGUAGUCCGGAUCGCAGUCUGCAACUCGACUGCGUGAAGUCGG